Acanthosepion pharaonis is the source of this 110-nucleotide non-coding RNA. The record is from the annotation of a GenBank genome assembly. NCBI's taxonomy places the organism in Eukaryota, Metazoa, Mollusca, Cephalopoda, Sepiida, Sepiidae.
UUACGGCCAUAUCAUGUUGAAACACCGGUUCCCGUACGAUCGCCGAAGUUAAGCAACGUCGAGUCUGGUCAGUACCUAGAUGGGUGACCGCUUGGGAAUACCAGGUACUG